RNAcentral lists this ribosomal RNA (493 nucleotides) under Bactrocera biguttula. RNAcentral's name for it is "partial 16S ribosomal RNA". It matches the Rfam family "Bacterial large subunit ribosomal RNA", at positions 1808 to 2567 of the family's 2925-position model. Lineage: Eukaryota; Metazoa; Arthropoda; Insecta; Diptera; Tephritidae. The record is from RNAcentral.
CAAAAACAUGUCUUUUUGAGUUAUUUUUAAAGUCUGACCUGCCCACUGAAAUUGUUUAAAUGGCCGCAGUAUUCUAACUGUGCAAAGGUAGCAUAAUCAUUAGUCUUUUAAUUGAAGGCUGGUAUGAACGGUUGGACGAGGUAUAAGCUGUUUCAUAUAAAUUUAUAAUAGAAUUUUAUAUUUUAGUUAAAAAGCUAAAAUAUAUUUAAAAGACGAGAAGACCCUAUAAAUCUUUAUAUUUUGUGUUGUUUAAAUUUUUUGGAAUUGGUUUAUUUUUAUGAUUUAAAAUAUUUUGUUGGGGUGAUAUUAAAAUUUAAUGAACUUUUAAUUAUUUAAAAUCAUUAAUUUAUGAGUUAUUGAUCCGUUAAUAGUGAUUAUAAGAUUAAGUUACUUUAGGGAUAACAGCGUAAUUUUUUUGGAGAGUUCAUAUCGAUAAAAAAGUUUGCGACCUCGAUGUUGGAUUAAGAUAUAAUUUUAGGUGUAGCCGCUUAAA